GACGAACGCUGGCGGCGUGCUUAACACAUGCAAGUCGAGCGGUAAGGCCCUUUCGGGGGUACACGAGCGGCGAACGGGUGAGUAACACGUGGGUGACCUGCCCUCAGCUCUGGGAUAAGCCUGGGAAACCGGGUCUAAUACUGGAUAUGACUCCAUGACGCAUGUUGUGGGGUGAAAGCCUUGUGCGGCUGAGGAUGGGCCCGCGGCCUAUCAGCUUGUUGGNGGGGUGAUGGCCUACCAAGGCGACGACGGGUAGCCGGCCUGAGAGGGCGACCGGCCACACUGGGACUGAGACACGGCCCAGACUCCUACGGGAGGCAGCAGUGGGGAAUCUUGCGCAAUGGGCGAAAGCCUGACGCAGCGACGCCGCGUGAGGGAUGACGCCU
Molecule: ribosomal RNA, 386 nt
Filed under: uncultured bacterium
Lineage: Bacteria
Description: bacterial SSU rRNA
Rfam family: Bacterial small subunit ribosomal RNA
Source: RNAcentral